Molecule: transfer RNA, 84 nt
Filed under: Rhipicephalus microplus (southern cattle tick)
Lineage: Eukaryota; Metazoa; Arthropoda; Arachnida; Ixodida; Ixodidae
Description: tRNA-Leu
Rfam family: tRNA
About the family: Transfer RNA (tRNA) molecules are approximately 80 nucleotides in length. Their secondary structure includes four short double-helical elements and three loops (D, anti-codon, and T loops). Further hydrogen bonds mediate the characteristic L-shaped molecular structure. tRNAs have two regions of fundamental functional importance: the anti-codon, which is responsible for specific mRNA codon recognition, and the 3' end, to which the tRNAs corresponding amino acid is attached (by aminoacyl-tRNA synthetases). tRNAs cope with the degeneracy of the genetic code in two manners: having more than one tRNA (with a specific anti-codon) for a particular amino acid; and 'wobble' base-pairing, i.e. permitting non-standard base-pairing at the 3rd anti-codon position.
Source: RNAcentral
GUCAGAAUGGCCGAGUGGUCUAAGGCACCAGACUCAAGUUCUUGUCCACGUAUGUGGGCGUGGGUUCGAAUGCCACUUCUGACA